This 301-nucleotide ribosomal RNA is filed under the name uncultured bacterium. RNAcentral's name for it is "partial 16S ribosomal RNA". It matches the Rfam family "Bacterial small subunit ribosomal RNA", at positions 509 to 807 of the family's 1533-position model. The record is from RNAcentral.
CAGCAGCCGCGGUAAUACGAAGGGUGCAAGCGUUACUCGGAAUUACUGGGCGUAAAGCGUGCGUAGGUGGUGGUUUAAGUCCGUUGUGAAAGCCCUGGGCUCAACCUGGGAAUUGCAGUGGACACUGGGUCACUAGAGUGUGGUAGAGGAUAGUGGAAUUUCCGGUGUAGCAGUGAAAUGCGUAGAGAUCGGAAGGAACAUCUGUGGCGAAGGCGACUAUCUGGGCCAACACUGACACUGAGGCACGAAAGCGUGGGGAGCAAACAGGAUUAGAUACCCCAGUAGUCCCUGUCUCUUAUAC